UUUGGUGGCGAUAGCGGAGGGGUUCCACACGUACCCAUCCCGAACACGACCGUUAAGCCCUCCAGCGCCGAUGGUACUUGGACC
RNAcentral lists this ribosomal RNA (84 nucleotides) under Paenibacillus peoriae. RNAcentral also lists the same sequence under 2 other names. The record is from RNAcentral. Lineage: Bacteria; Bacillati; Bacillota; Bacilli; Caryophanales; Paenibacillaceae.